RNAcentral lists this ribosomal RNA (1372 nucleotides) under uncultured bacterium. RNAcentral describes it as "bacterial SSU rRNA". It matches the Rfam family "Bacterial small subunit ribosomal RNA", at positions 28 to 1381 of the family's 1533-position model. The record is from RNAcentral.
GAUGAACGCUGGCGGCGUGCCUAAUACAUGCAAGUCGAGCGAACGGACGAGAAGCUUGCUUCUCUGAUGUUAGCGGCGGACGGGUGAGUAACACGUGGAUAACCUACCUAUAAGACUGGGAUAACUUCGGGAAACCGGAGCUAAUACCGGAUAAUAUUUUGAACUGCAUGGUUCAAAAGUGAAAGACGGUCUUGCUGUCACUUAUAGAUGGAUCCGCGCUGCAUUAGCUAGUUGGUAAGGUAACGGCUUACCAAGGCAACGAUGCAUAGCCGACCUGAGAGGGUGAUCGGCCACACUGGAACUGAGACACGGUCCAGACUCCUACGGGAGGCAGCAGUAGGGAAUCUUCCGCAAUGGGCGAAAGCCUGACGGAGCAACGCCGCGUGAGUGAUGAAGGUCUUCGGAUCGUAAAACUCUGUUAUUAGGGAAGAACAUAUGUGUAAGUAACUGUGCACAUCUUGACGGUACCUAAUCAGAAAGCCACGGCUAACUACGUGCCAGCAGCCGCGGUAAUACGUAGGUGGCAAGCGUUAUCCGGAAUUAUUGGGCGUAAAGCGCGCGUAGGCGGUUUUUUAAGUCUGAUGUGAAAGCCCACGGCUCAACCGUGGAGGGUCAUUGGAAACUGGAAAACUUGAGUGCAGAAGAGGAAAGUGGAAUUCCAUGUGUAGCGGUGAAAUGCGCAGAGAUAUGGAGGAACACCAGUGGCGAAGGCGACUUUCUGGUCCGUAACUGACGCUGAUGUGCGAAAGCGCGGGGAUCAAACAGGAUUAGAUACCCUGGUAGUCCACGCCGUAAACGAUGAGUGCUAAGUGUUAGGGGGUUUCCGCCCCUUAGUGCUGCAGCUAACGCAUUAAGCACUCCGCCUGGGGAGUACGACCGCAAGGUUGAAACUCAAAGGAAUUGACGGGGACCCGCACAAGCGGUGGAGCAUGUGGUUUAAUUCGAAGCAACGCGAAGAACCUUACCAAAUCUUGACAUCCUUUGACAACUCUAGAGAUAGAGCCUUCCCCUUCGGGGGACAAAGUGACAGGUGGUGCAUGGUUGUCGUCAGCUCGUGUCGUGAGAUGUUGGGUUAAGUCCCGCAACGAGCGCAACCCUUAAGCUUAGUUGCCAUCAUUAAGUUGGGCACUCUAAGUUGACUGCCGGUGACAAACCGGAGGAAGGUGGGGAUGACGUCAAAUCAUCAUGCCCCUUAUGAUUUGGGCUACACACGUGCUACAAUGGACAAUACAAAGGGCAGCGAAACCGCGAGGUCAAGCAAAUCCCAUAAAGUUGUUCUCAGUUCGGAUUGUAGUCUGCAACUCGACUACAUGAAGCUGGAAUCGCUAGUAAUCGUAGAUCAGCAUGCUACGGUGAAUACGUUCCCGGGUCU